AUUUAAUCUGAAGGGCAGAUUGGAGACACGGGUAGCUGCAUCAUGUUGCGUCGUCCAGAAGCAUGGCCUUAAUGUCCAAGGAGGUCGGGAAACCAAAUUGGAGAAGAGAUCCUGCUGAGAUGAACAUAGUGGGCACAGCCGGAAGAUGGGCAGCGCUGGUUAAAUCAUCAGUCGCUAUGAUUUAUUGUUCCUUUAAAGAACAGCGACUUGAUUGUGCAUGAAAUAUGUUCGCCAGGCUUGGCAAUCCAGUUUAGCAUCUGGGAUGUCCAUUCAGUUGGAAUUAAUUCAAAAGCAAGCUUAAAGCUGUUUUAAUCGUACAUCGAAGUAUCCGAGAGUACCUAUCGAUGAAUCUUGAUUAUCCUGUUUCAGCCGCCACCUCUGAUCGGGAGCUGGUUGUUGGGAGGGUUGUAGACUGAGCUUCCUCCUUAAGUCUCACUCCCCAACACUUGACGAAAAGAAAACGAUUCCCACCGGAGAGAAAAAGCUCUGUGGAAUUGGAGGGAACAUUGGGAAAUUGAUAGAGGAAAAAUUCUCUGUGUAUAAGGAUUCCAAAACAGGUUUUGAUCCAGUUUUCUGAAUAGAAUGCCUUUUUCUGCAAUUAUUGAUUCUUUAAAAAUUUUAAAUCAUUUUAAGCUAAUGCAAAAAUUAAGGAACAAACAAAAUAUGUAAUGAACAUUGGCCAACCAA
This is a long non-coding RNA of Amblyraja radiata (thorny skate), 687 nucleotides long. RefSeq lists it as uncharacterized. Lineage: Eukaryota; Metazoa; Chordata; Chondrichthyes; Rajiformes; Rajidae. The record is from RefSeq and is a predicted model, not a curated record. The transcript is spliced from 2 exons.